Molecule: long non-coding RNA, 4062 nt
Filed under: Brassica rapa (field mustard)
Lineage: Eukaryota; Viridiplantae; Streptophyta; Magnoliopsida; Brassicales; Brassicaceae
Description: long non-coding RNA (BRAP_LNC000623)
Source: RNAcentral
GCAGUUCAUACGAUCACAUAUUUACAUAAUCAAGUAAGUACGAAAAGAACACAAAAAAACCAAAAUAUGAAAGGUUUCUUUGGAGUUGUUAUGUUUCUGUUCUUAUUUAUUACGGUAUCUUUAGCCAGUCGCAAAAGUUUAACAAGUAUUGGAUCGAAAAGACUAGUUCCAGGAGGUCCAGACAAUGCGACAUCUCCAUCUAAUCCACCAGCGUUUGUAACUGAUAUUGAAAUAAAGAGACUAGUUCCAGGAGGUCCAGAUAAUGCGACAUCUCCAUCUAAUCCACCAGCGUUUGUAGCAAAUAUUGAAAUGAAAAGAAAAGUUCCAGGAGGUCCGAACAAUCAGACAUCUCCACCUACCCCACCAUCUUUUUAGUGGAUAUAUAUUUUAAAAGUUCAAUAAAUUAAUAAUCACAAACUUUCUGUCAAUCUAAUCUAAUAUUGGUUUAGUUAUGAUUUUUUCAAAAAAAUAAAAAAUAAAAAUAAUAAGUAUUUUUUCUAUACACUAUAUUGUUCAUAUAAAAAAAAUGCUGAAUGUGAAAUAUAUAAUUUUGAAAAAAAAAUCCUAAUACCAUUUUUUAGAAAGAAUCCUAAUAGCAUUUGAUUAAUUGCUUACCUGACUUUCCGAAGAAAUCAUAAUAUUAAAAACACUGAAGUACACACCACUAAAAAUAUUUUUUCUGUGUGAAAAAGACCAUCACGUGAACAGACACAUCUAUUCAUUCAAGAUCCAUCAUUUCUCCUCGAGUGUUCCCAUCGCCAAUCAACAACAGUUUUCUUAGACUAUAAUAAAUGUUAAUUUGGCAUUUAUUGAGGAGUGGCUAAAUAUAGUCUACUUUGUGCCUUUGUUUUUCUCUUGUGAUCAAAGUGUCAACAAAUACAUUCAUCUGUUUUUGUUACUCAUGGCAGACAAAUUACAAAAAGAUGCAAGAAAUUACGUUGAGUAUCAUUGAUAAAGACAUUACUUUACUCGACGAUUUAUGCGAAGAUGCAUCAGAGGAGAACGGCUAGGGGUGUCAAAACAGAUAAAAACUAAUGGGUCGAUCAGGACCAAUCCAAACCACGAAUUUUAAUGGAUAGAAAAAUUGGGUACAAAUGGAUUAAUGGGUAAAUGAGUUAAUGGACUUAAAUGGUUUGGAUUGUAAUGGAUAAUGAGUUAUUCAUAACCAAAUCAAUAAAAAUCUAUAACAAACCUAACAUCAAAUCAAAUAUAUAUAUAUAAAAAAGUAACCAAACCAAAUUUUUAAACCAGUUUACUACACCAAAUUCUAUUUACUUUUCACAUGUACAACGAAAUUACAAUAACCUAAAUCUCACUUAAUCAUAACUUUUUUUAUGUUAAAACCCAAUUUCUCAUAUAUAUAUGUGGGGUUUUAGAAGUUAAAUCAUAUUUUUUUGCCAAAUACAUAAAAUAUUUUUUUUGACAAAACUAAAACUUGAUUUUUUCCAUCAAAAGCGCUAAAUCUCUUCUUUUUUUUUGUUGUCAAAAUCGUAAAAUUGUGUGUUUUCACCAGAUCCACAAAAUCAUGUAUUCCUGCAAAAACUGCAAAAUCAUGUUUUUCUGUCAAAAUCGAAAAAUCGUUUUUUCUAGCCAAAACCGAAAAAUUGUGUUUUCUCGCAAAAAUCGCAAAAUUGGGUUUUCCUGCCAAAACCACAAAAUUGAGCUUUCCCUCCAAAACUGCAAAAUUGUGCUUUCCCGCCAUGACCAUAAAAUCGAGUUUUCCCACAUAAAAUGUAAAUUGAGUUUUCUCACCAAAAACCGCAAAUUUGUGUUUGCCAGCCAAAACCGUAAAAUUGAGUAUUUUUGCAAAAUGUUAAACUGAACGUUCCCUCUUAAACUGUAAAAUCUUUUUUUUCCUGUCAAAACAAUAAAUUAAAGCUUUCCGCCUUUUGAAAAAAACAAGCUUUCCUGCCAAAACCGCAAAUUAAGUUUUUCCGCCCAUAUCGCAAAUUUAGUUUUCCUGUCAAAACCCUAAAAUUUAGGUUUCCCGCCAAAACAGUAAAAUCUUGUUUUCUUGCCAUAAUUGUAAAAUUAUUUUCCGCCAAAUCUGUAAAAUUGAGUUUUCCACCAAAACAUAAAAAUCUUUUUUCCGUAAAAUUGAUUUUUCUGCCAAAACCGCAACAUUGUAUUUUUCCGCCACACCUCAAAAAUCUUAUUUUCCUGACAAAACAGCAAAAUUGAGUUUUCCUGUAAAAACCGUAAAUCGUGUUUUCCAUCCAAAACUGUAAAUUGUUUUUCCCUAAAAUCUGUAAAAUUGAGAUUUCCGACAAAGCCACAAAAUGGUGUUUUCUUCUAAAACCGUAAAAUUGAGUUUUCUUGCCAAGAUCACUUAAGAAAAUAAGAAAAUCUUAUUUUCCACCAAAACCUUAUAUUUGUAUUUAUUUUCAACCCUAAAAAUAAUACUUUUUACUUAAUAACUUUUAAAAUAUAAAAUUAUUGUUCAUGGAUUAACCGUUUAAACAAUUAACUCAUUAACUUAAAUGAGUUGUAGAUUGAUCCAAUCGAUUUGUCAAAUGUAUUGGUUUAAUACAUGGCCCAUAUAAUUUCAAAAUCAUUUCGGUGUUUUGGUUCGGUUUACCCAUUUUGGAGCCAAUUAAACAUAUUUUACUUUCAUAUUUUUAAACAUAUUUUCUUUACUAAAAUCAUAAAAAAUUAUAAAUUCAUAUAAGAAUAAAAUAUACGAAUCCGGCGCAUAGCACCGGAAUACCGCUAGUAAAGAAUAUGAUAGUAUAUUAUGAAUUAGUUAAGUUUUUAAAACUAACUAGUCAAAAAUUGAUUUGAUAACGUUAGCUUCAAUUAAUGUAUAAAAAUCUAGAAAUUUUAAUGGUACAAUUCAUAAAUGACACGCCAGGUUAAAUUUGAUUCUAUAUAGUGUUUUUGUUUAAGUAGAAUAGAUUUUAUAUAUAUAUGUAUAUAAUUAUUGAUUUAAUAUUUAGAUUAGGUAUGAGUAGUAGAUCUUUUUGAAAAAGGGUUUCAACUUCCUUAUAUAAAUUUAUCUAUAUUUAUUAGAUAUGAGUUCAAAUGUACUAAAAGUGUUUUUAUCAACAAAUUUCUCUGUUCAUGCAUUUAAUCUGUUUAGAUAUUCAAUUUUAAUAUUGAUAAGGUGACAAGGAAAAAAGAAAUACGUGUCUUUCUAUUCAAAUAUUUUUUUGUUAGAUUUAGUUUUUUUUCCUUUGAGAUAUCUAUACUAUUAAAAGAGUUAUUUGUUAGAAUGGUCAUGUUGUGUACCAUAAGUAUGUGCAUACUAAAUAUUUACCUUCAUUUACAGACACUAUAAAUUAUCUCAUUUCAAGCAGUUCAUACCAUCACAUAUUUACAUAAUCUAGUAAGUACGAAAAGGACACAAAAAACCAAAAUAUGAAAGGUUUCUUUGGAGUUGUUAUGUUUCUGUUCUUAUUUAUUACGGUAUCUUUAGCCAGUCGCAAAAGUUUAACAAGUAUUGGAUCGAAGAGACUAGUUCCAGGAGGUCCAGACAAUGCGACAUCUCCAUCUAAUCCACCAGCGUUUGUAACUGAUAUUGAAAUAAAGAGGCUAGUUCCAGGAGUUCCAGAUAAUGCGACAUCUCCAUCUAAUCCACCAGCGUUUGUAGCAAAUAUUGAAAUGAAAAGAAAAGUUCCAGGAGGUCCGAACAAUCAGACAUCUCCACCUACCCCACCAUCUUUUUAGUGGAUAUAUAUUUUAAAAGUUCAAUAAAUUAAUAAUCACAAACUUUCUGUCAAUCUAAUCUAAUAUUGGUUUAAUUAUGAUUGUUUCAAAAAAAUAAAAAAUAAAAAUAAUAAGUAUUUUUUUCUAUACACUAUAUUAUUCAUUAAAAAAAAUGCUGAAUAUGAAAUAUAUAAUUUUCAAAAAAAAAAAAUCCUAAUACCAUUUUUUAGAAAGAAUCCUAAUAGCAUUUGAUUAAUUGCUUACCUGACUUUCCGAAGAAAACAUAAUAUUAAAAACACUGAAGUACACACUACUAAAAAUAUUUUUUCUGUGCGAAAAGAUCAUCACGUGAACAGACACAUCUAUUCAUUCAUGAUCCAUCAUUUAUCCUGGAGUGUUCCCAUCGCCGAUCAACAA